This 468-nucleotide ribosomal RNA is filed under the name uncultured bacterium. RNAcentral's name for it is "partial 16S ribosomal RNA". It matches the Rfam family "Bacterial small subunit ribosomal RNA", at positions 28 to 507 of the family's 1533-position model. The record is from RNAcentral.
GACGAACGCUGGCGGCGUGCUUAACACAUGCAAGUCGAACGGAAAGGCCCUGCUUUUGUGGGGUGCUCGAGUGGCGAACGGGUGAGUAACACGUGAGUAACCUGCCCUUGACUUUGGGAUAACUUCAGGCAACUGGGGCUAAUACCGGAUAGGAGCUCCUGCUGCAUGGUGGGGGUUGGAAAGUUUCGGCGGUUGGGGAUGGACUCGCGGCUUAUCAGCUUGUUGGUGGGGUAGUGGCUUACCAAGGCUUUGACGGGUAGCCGGCCUGCGAGGGUGACCGGCCACAUUGGGACUGAGAGACGGCCCAGACUCCUACGGGAGGCAGCAGUGGGGAAUAUUGCACAAUGGGCGGAAGCCUGAUGCAGCAACGCCGCGUGCGGGAUGACGGCCUUCGGGUUGUAAACCGCUUUCGCCUGUGACGAAGCGUGAGUGACGGUAAUGGGUAAAGAAGCACCGGCUAACUACGUG